AGCUCAGUAGUAGAGCACAUGCUUAGUACGCCUGGGGUCCUGGGUUCAAUUCCCAG
RNAcentral lists this transfer RNA (56 nucleotides) under Camelus bactrianus (Bactrian camel). It matches the Rfam family "tRNA", at positions 9 to 63 of the family's 71-position model. From Rfam's summary of the family: Transfer RNA (tRNA) molecules are approximately 80 nucleotides in length. Their secondary structure includes four short double-helical elements and three loops (D, anti-codon, and T loops). The record is from Rfam by way of RNAcentral. RNAcentral also lists the same sequence under 3 other names. Lineage: Eukaryota; Metazoa; Chordata; Mammalia; Artiodactyla; Camelidae.